RNAcentral lists this ribosomal RNA (464 nucleotides) under uncultured bacterium. RNAcentral describes it as "partial 16S ribosomal RNA". It matches the Rfam family "Bacterial small subunit ribosomal RNA", at positions 339 to 795 of the family's 1533-position model. The record is from RNAcentral.
CUACGGGUCGCUCCAGUGGGGAAUAUUGCACAAUGGGCGCAAGCCUGAUGCAGCCAUGCCGCGUGUAUGAAGAAGGCCUUCGGGUUGUAAAGUACUUUCAGCGGGGAGGAAGGGAGUAAAGUUAAUACCUUUGCUCAUUGACGUUACCCGCAGAAGAAGCACCGGCUAACUCCGUGCCAGCAGCCGCGGUAAUACGGAGGGUGCAAGCGUUAAUCGGAAUUACUGGGCGUAAAGCGCACGCAGGCGGUUUGUUAAGUCGGAUGUGAAAUCCCCGGGCUCAACCUGGGAACUGCAUCUGAUACUGGCAAGCUUGAGUCUCGUAGAGGGGGGUAGAAUUCCAGGUGUAGCGGUGACAUGCGUAGAGAUCUGGAGGAAUACCGGUGGCGAAGGCGGCCCCCUGGACGAAGACUGACGCUCAGGUGCGAAAGCGUGGGGAGCAAACAGGAUUAGAUACCCUAGUAGUC